ACGGCGAGUGAAGCGGGAAAAGCUCAAAUUUGUAAUCUGGCGCCUUCGGCGUCCGAGUUGUAAUCUCGAGAAGUAUUUUCCGCGCUGGACCGCACAUAAGUCUGUUGGAAUACAGCGUCAUAGUGGUGAGAACCCCGUAUAUGGUGCGGAUGCCCAGUGCUUUGUGAUAUACUUUCGAAGAGUCGAGUUGUUUGGGAAUGCAGCUCAAAUUGGGUGGUAAAUUCCAUCUAAAGCUAAAUAUUGGCGAGAGACCGAUAGCGAACAAGUACCGUGAGGGAAAGAUGAAAAGCACUUUGGAAAGAGAGUUAACAGUACGUGAAAUUGUUGGAAGGGAAACGCUUGAAGUCAGACUUGCAUUUUGGAGUUCAGCCGCAAGGUGUAUUCUUCAAUUCGCAGGCCAGCAUCAGUUUUUGGGGGUGGAAAAUCGCGGUUUGAAGGUAGCAGUCUCGGCUGUGUUAUAGCUUUCCGCUGGAUUCACUUUUGGGGACUGAGGAACGCAGUACGCUUUUUGCAAGACUUUCGAGUC
RNAcentral lists this ribosomal RNA (526 nucleotides) under Microbotryum intermedium. RNAcentral's name for it is "LSU rRNA". It matches the Rfam family "Eukaryotic large subunit ribosomal RNA", at positions 86 to 626 of the family's 3401-position model. Lineage: Eukaryota; Fungi; Basidiomycota; Microbotryomycetes; Microbotryales; Microbotryaceae. The record is from RNAcentral.